Molecule: long non-coding RNA, 1058 nt
Organism: Sus scrofa (pig)
Lineage: Eukaryota; Metazoa; Chordata; Mammalia; Artiodactyla; Suidae
Source: RefSeq, a predicted model, not a curated record
CGCACUCGGGGCCGCAGUCCUCUACCCCUGCGUGGCGUAUGACUGUGGACCCCAGCGUGCUCGGAAUAAAAAUCCUCUUGCUGUUUGCAUCAAGACCGCUUCUCUCAUUCGUGUUGUGGUUUAUUCUUGCGGUGAAAACACUGGAGAGGUGAGAACGUUUUCAACUCUCGACAAGCAACUGCAUCACGUGGGGUUUCCACCUUUUCUCUGGGGCAAGAGGAGCCUGGGACGCAGCAUCCCAGGUAACCCUGAGAAAACUGCUCCAAGGAGGCAAGUGGGAAGCCAGGACGCAUAGGAGUCGUGGAAUAAAGGACAAGCAGAGUCCACACCAGAGUUUACCGUUAGCGAGAGAAAAACCAGGUCUUUGAAGCUACCAAACUCCUGGGCGUCUCCUUCCUACAGCCAUGCUGUCCCCUCGUCUUACUAAACUGAGUGGUGGUGACCCCUGAAAGCACCAACGGGUGUAGGCCCAGGUUGUGUUAAGGCAGCAGUCCGGCCCCAGGCCAGCGGCAUGGCUCUGGUCAUGAAAGGGCCGCCAGUACUGAGGGAUGGGGCAGGACCUGCAGAGCCGACCUCGUGAAGACUUCUGAGCACUCCUCAUGCUGAAGAGUAUUAGUAACCUCGGCACAGCUCCGCUCCAGAGAGAGCACAUGAAUCGAUGAUCAGCACCUAAAAAAUCACCACCAUCUUAUUAUUUAAAAUAAGUCUUCAGAAAAGUGUUAGUUUUCAUUAAGAACCAAAACUUAGUGUCUAGCAUCCAUGCUCUUUUACUUCAAGUGAAAAAAAAUUUUUUUUUCAUAUACUGGGUACAAUUCACACACUAGAUUGAGUGAAUGAUGCAUUUUUCAGCUCGUAACUUUGUGGAUAUUUUGGCCUAACUUUGGACUCACUAAUGUCUUUAUGAUUUCAUAAUGUCCUUGCAGGUUUUUUAAAAAAUGUAAUGGCCUUGAAAUUCUUGAAAUUCUUCCUUUAAGGUGUAAAUUGCUGCAGGAAUGCUUCAAUUUUUUUUUUUUUUUUUGUCUUUUUGCCUUUUGAGGGCCGAUCCAGCGGCAUAUGGA